UCCAACAGUUGGUUGCUUUACCCCUUUGGGUUUCUUCUUUUUAACACAAUUGGCAACUCUCAUGCCUAUUUCGUUACAAAAAUAAAAGGUGCAAGCAGAAGAUAGAACGAGCGACUUAAGAAGUGCUUUGUAUGAUAAGAACCACCUAAGAAACGAAAGGGGAGACAAAAGUAAAAGAAGAAAUAGUUGCAUAGAGUAAAAAACUCAGCCAGUGGGAAAGACCACCCCCACGGUUUUCUAUUGGUAGAGAAGAUCCCAGCCAAAUAGCUGCAUAAAGUAACUGAAUAAAGAACCAAUGCGACAUUGUUUGUUGGUAGAAGAUCAGGUUAAUAGUGCAGGUUCUUACUUGAGACCCUAAUAGACAUUAGUCUUAGUCUGUGGAAAACUUAGGUAAUACAUGGAGGAACUACAACUCAAAUCACUUGAUCACCAGAGUUGGCACCACCAAUUGGCUUCGGAUGUUUAGAUUGUUUGGAACGAACCUCCCUUCGAUGAUAUCUGCUGAAUAAUAUGCAAGGAAUAUUUCUCUUUUACAUAUAUAUAUAUAUAUAUUCGCAUAAACUUAAAAAGUUAAAACUUAUUGUAUCCAUUGGGGAUCUGGACCAUGUCUUCUGGCCACUCGUAUUAAAAUGUUAGAUCGUACCUUUUCUUAACCAACAAGAUAAUUUCCCUUUUUGUACUAAAUCGCUAAUGAAGUCUUAUUUCUUCUUUGGUAAUUACAGGUUCACGCGUCAAAGUCAUUGCAGGUAAUGCUGCAAAGAAAACUAAUGAUCCUUACAUUCUCUGAUCCCAUCAACAAGUGGUUGUUUUCUAUCCUGAUUUCUCAUUCUCUGGUUUCUGCUUGUCAGCCACAUCAUCGGCAGCAGCAUUAGUUGUUAUUCUGUUGAUGGUGGCCACUGCACUCUAUCUUUCACUUAAGUCAAGAUAUAAUGAAGAGAUACACUUGAAGGUUGAAAUGUUUCUCAAGACAUACGGCACAACAAAACCCACAAGGUACACUUUCGCUGAAGUUAAGUAGAUAGCAAGGCAGUUUAAGGAAAAGGUAGGCCAAGGUGGAUUUGGAAGUGUAUACAAAGGCGAGCUACCAAAUGGAGUGCCUGUGGCCGUCAAAAUGCUAGAGAACUCUACAGGAGAGGGAGACGAAUUCAUCAAUGAAGUUGCAACCAUAGGACUAAUCCACCAUGCAAGUAUUGUGCGCCUCUUGGGAUUUUGCUCUCAAGGAACAAGACGUGCCCUUAUUUAUGAAUUCAUGCCUAAUGAGUCAUUGGAGAAAUAUAUAUUCUUGCAUGCUUCUGGAGCAUCUCAACAAAUCCUAGUACCAAACAAAAUGGUAGAUAUUGCUUUAGGCAUUGCCCGAGGAAUGGAAUAUUUACAUCACGGAUGCAACAAGCGCAUCCUCCACUUUGACAUCAAGCCUCACAACAUCUUGCUGGACUACAAGUUCAACCCAAAGAUCUCAGACUUCGGCCUUGCAAAACUUUGUGCGAGGGAUCAAAGCAUUGUUACCUUGACAACAGCAAGAGGUACUAUGGGCUAUAUUGCACCAGAGUUGUAUUCUCGGAAUUUUGGAGAAGUAUCCUACAAGUCAGAUGUUUACAGUUUUGGCAUGCUGGUGUUAGAAAUGGUAAGUGGGAGGAGGAACUCAGAUCCAGGUGUUGCCAGCCAAAAUGAAGUUUACCUCCCAGAGUGGAUCUUCGAGAAGGUAAUCACAGGGCAUGACUUGGUGCUUGCUCGAGAAAUGACAGGAGAUGAGAGAGAAAAGAUCAGACAGCUAGCCAUUGUGGCUCUGUGGUGCAUUCAAUGGAACCCAAGAAAUCGACCCUCGAUGACAAAGGUGGUGAACAUGUUGACAGGGAGGUUGGAGAACCUACAGAUGCCCCCAAAGCCUUUCAUCUCAUCGGAAAGUCAUCCUGUGCCAUAGAGCAUGGAGAAUACUAUGCCACAUGAUUUAAUGAAUAUUUGAGAGAGAGAUAAACUUAGUUCCUCCUGUGUUGCAUAGUAAUGCAUAGUACUAUAGCAUGUGAUGGUUGUUCAGUCUUUUGACGGGUAUUAGCACAUGACAUAUGAAUAGUAAGAUGUCACCAUGUAAUACUAUUUAUUUGCAAUAUAUCAGAUUUGGAGUUGAUGUAUUCAGUAAUCCGAAGGCAAUAAUUUUUAAAUUUCAUAUUCUGGAAUACCAAGUACGUUCUUCCUCACUGAAUUUCCCAGGAAAGAGGAAAUGUGUUCUGUUUUCAGUCAACCAAUAAUUAGUGUUAGAUGGAGAACUCACUGUCAAGAGCAUUCGCAUGUGGUAGAUAAUGCCAUCUCUAUUCCCAGGUGCUACAGGUUUUACAAUGUGAAUGGAUGCGUAAGCAUGGGGUCUGAGACUCUGACCACUAUUCCUACUCGAGAUUUUGCAGAACAGAAAACAAAAGGAAAUCAAGUCGAAGGGCUUACCUUUGCCAGUGCCAAGGAGAAGGCAGAUCUAGAUUGCAUCGAGCUGCCGUGGGUCGGCACUACGGCAGGCACCCUUGCAAGAGCAGAGAGGCCGGCGACGACGAGAAACAGCAUCGGUGUAGAAUGGUAAAGUAGGGGGAAUCGACAGCGGCGCGCUAGGAGAGACGUGACGCUUCCUCCCCGGCGCGUGAUUAGUUACAAGGGAUCGCCGCCCGGCGGCGGCCGCGGCCGCGGCCGGAGCACCGGCGGUGGGAAGAGGCAUCUGUGAUUCGGCGUUUCUAAUAAAAUUGGGCUGGGUUUCGUACUUUUGCGGUGUGUUGGGCUUGAUGGACCAGCCCACUGAAAAUCUCGGA
Molecule: long non-coding RNA, 2789 nt
Filed under: Setaria viridis
Lineage: Eukaryota; Viridiplantae; Streptophyta; Magnoliopsida; Poales; Poaceae
Description: long non-coding RNA (SVIR_LNC005833)
Source: RNAcentral